This 495-nucleotide ribosomal RNA is filed under the name uncultured bacterium. RNAcentral describes it as "partial 16S ribosomal RNA". It matches the Rfam family "Bacterial small subunit ribosomal RNA", at positions 28 to 507 of the family's 1533-position model. The record is from RNAcentral.
GAUGAACGCUGGCGGCGUGCCUAAUACAUGCAAGUAGAACGCUGAAGGAGGAGCUUGCUCUUCUGGUUGAGUUGCGAACGGGUGAGUAACGCGUAGGUAACCUGCCUGGUAGCGGGGGAUAACUAUUGGAAACGAUAGCUAAUACCGCAUGACAACAGCUGUUGCAUGAUAACGGUUUGAAAGGGGCAACUGCUCCACUACGAGAUGGACCUGCGUUGUAUUAGCUAGUUGGUGAGGUAUCGGCUCACCAAGGCGACGAUACAUAGCCGACAGGAGAGGGUGAGCGGCCAGACUGGGACUGAGACACGGUCCAGACGGCUACGGGAGGCAGCAGUAGGGAUUCUUCGGCAAUGGACGGAAGUCUGACCGAGCAACGCCGCGUGAGUGAAGAAGGUUUUCGGAUCGUAAAGCUCUGUUGUAAGAGAAGAACGAGUGUGAGAGUGGAAAGUUCACACUGUGACGGUAUCUUACCAGAAAGGGACGGCUAACUACGUG